CUCCAGAGGAACUGUAGGUCACCAGAUUCUGCUUAAUCUUUUUAAUAUAACAUUUAUUUGUAGAGUCUGCACGCUGCUGAGAAUGACCUUUCAAUCAUUGUGGGAAGUUUUCCUGCUACAAACGCAAUCCAGAAGUUAUCAAUGCAUCUUAACCUUGAAUUUCACAUCUAGAGUUCUGGCUGCGUAAAAAAAAUCUAUCGAUGACUUCCUGGCCAUGUUUAGUCAUGAUGUCACAGUCUACCAGACCAUGGAGUCCAGAAACAUGAAUGAGAUAGAAGAAUUCCAAGCAGCCUUUUGUGGAUGCAACCAUGGUUUUAUCCAAUUAAGCAUCUCAGCCCAGAAUUUCAGCCUAUCAUCAACAAGGGUUGCCUGUAUGAAGAAUCCUAUGAAUGAUUAUUUGGCUAUAGAUUAAAUUAAGACAGCCUUGUCCAAAUUUGUUGAAACAGUUAGUCCUUGUAUUUCUUGGGCAGCUAUAAUGCAAUCAACAAGUUAUCAAGGCAUCUUAACCCUGAAUUUCACAUCUAGAGU
Long non-coding RNA from Pistacia vera, 528 nucleotides. RefSeq lists it as uncharacterized. The transcript has 5 exons. NCBI's taxonomy places the organism in Eukaryota, Viridiplantae, Streptophyta, Magnoliopsida, Sapindales, Anacardiaceae. The record is from RefSeq and is a predicted model, not a curated record.